Molecule: non-coding RNA, 2771 nt
Organism: Rattus norvegicus (Norway rat)
Lineage: Eukaryota; Metazoa; Chordata; Mammalia; Rodentia; Muridae
Source: RefSeq, a predicted model, not a curated record
UAGCAGUACAAACCUUUCCAGUUAAGACACAAUUGACAUCCCAGAAAAGACAGACCCAGGAAAAUAUAUAACUGGGAGAAAAUCUCCAGGAGACAAUUAAUGGUCCCUAAAACACAAAGUGAGAAAAACAGGAUAAGGAUUCAACUAUGGGGAAAUGUACAACUGCUCUUUCCUGAGCCUAAGAUCCAUGGAAACCUGAUAUAAAUGAACAUCAAGCCCGGAUGAAAAGCUGGGGAUAGUCACUCCCACAUGUUCCUCUCCAGACUGCAUCUCCCGAGUCCAUUGCAGAUAUGGAAUAAGGCUAAAGGAAGAGCCAAUGAGAUUUCUCUUUAAUGCUGAAGACUUGAGGGCAGCAUUCAAAACCUGAUUGUGCUGGACCUUCGGGAGGCCAUGGGGAGCAGGGUCUAGUGGUGCCUCCUUGGGUUCCUUUUUUCUAUUGGCUGCCCUAGUAACACAUGCCUUGUAACAUGGUUAGAGAAUGCUCCAUGUUAGGUCGGUAUUGCCUACUUUCAAAGAUGGCGUCUCUCCUGUCAAUAAGAAUACGAAUAAGGUAAUGGGAGUGAAGAUGAGUAAAAAUGCAUUCUGUACAUGUAUGGAACUGUGAAAGGGAAAAAAUAUAAUCUGAGUAAAUGUCACAUAUAGCAUGACUGAUCUGUGUACUGAGCCAAAGAUACCUCGUACGUGACCUCUAUUAAGUCUCACACACCCCUGCUAUCAUCCUAUACUACGCAUGAUACUUCAAGGAAUUAUGGGCCUUGGUCAUAACCACACACGAGAUUGAAGAUAUGCACUGUAGUCUGUGACAUCUAUUUUAAGCUUAACUUUUAUUACCUUUAAAACUGUUUAGGAUUUUCUAGUUUGCAUGGCUGAGGUAGCAGGAAAUGUUAUUGGGCAUUUCAAUUUUUUAAAAAAAAUUGUAUUUGUUUUUAAUUUUUAAUUGUGUGUGUGUGUGGCAGGAGGUAUGUGUUUGUGAGCACAGUGCCUGUGGAAUACAGAAGGGGGAGUCAGGUCUCCCUGGAGCUCACAGUUCAGGCAGUUGUGAGCUGCCUGAUAAUAGAACUGAGAUAUGGGAUCGCUCUUAACCUCUAUCUGUCCAGCUAUUGUGUGUCUGUGGUCCUGAUGGAGAUACCCAGGAAAUGCUUGUACAGGUUUCUAUGGAAACUUUGCUCCUAAAUCAGUGUUACAGAAGAGUUAAUACCACAGGACAGAAACUUAUCUCAUUCCAUUGUGUAUUCCCCAAGCCCAGAAAAUCACUGGCACGUACUAAGUUCAUGUAGUGACUAAAGAAGUCAACUAAAAGAGAGAAGUUAGUGAAGUCUGGCUCCUUAGCUGUGUCUAACCCGUAGCCUGCUUGGUAAAAUAAACAUUGAUUGGGGGCUUAGGAGAUGGCUCUGUCUAUAAUGAAUGUACCAUGCUAUCAUGAGGAUCAGAGGUGACAUUUCUCACUGUACCUGGCCAUCACUUAUUGCCUUGACUGGCAUCCUCCUGUCUCCACCCCUCCAAGGCUGUGUUUUCAGGUGUGUGUUGCUAUGCGCAACUGACUAUAAAAUCCAGGUCCUUGCACUUGAGUGGCAGGAACCGCACUCGCAGGUCCUCUUCCCCAGCCCUGAAACUGACCACUCAUAGGAAAGGCUUGCUCUGGGAUGUCUAAGAUUCAAAGCAGGGGCAAAAAAAAAAAAUCACAUGGAGAGAAGGGUUCUGAAGCUGGCCCCUCCCCACUCCCCCUUCUCUCUAAUGAAGAUAAAAUACAGUUCUCACAAUGUCAUUAGAUGUAUAAAAAUGGAACAGAGUUAAGUGCUCAGCAAUCGAGAGGUGAUUAACCGCAUUGUGGAAGGCUGUGCCAACACUAAAAAUGUCUGCCGCAGAAAUAAAAUGUACAAACAAUAGAGAAAGAGUUCAGAUUACCAAAUUUAGCCUAACUCUGCUUUUGUGCCAAUCAUAUAUAUGUAUAUAUAUGCAUGUAUAAUAUAAUAUUUACAUUUAUAAAAUCAUGAGGUGGAGAUGGAAACCUCAGGAUGUGCCAGUACCAAGGCUGGUUUUGACCCUCUACUUUGCAUUUAUGUGGGCUUUCUACUUUUCUGUGAUGUGUAGAACUUUUUUGUAUAAUAGAAAGUUUGAUUUGGAAAGCAUUUUGAAAAUGCAAAGGUUUUUGCGACCUGAGAGAACACAAUGUAGAAAGCUGUCACACAGAGAGCAGUGGCCACUUAAAGGGGAGGGGUUCUUUCUUCCAGAUGUCUCCUCUCCCUCAGGCUCUGUUGGCUCCCACUGCUUAGGAACCUUUAAAGCCAACACACUUACCUCCUUGUGAAAUCUUCAAUGCAUGAAUAGAAACAAGUUCUCUUGUUUUUCUCUGUUCAGCUGAGACAGGCUGACAUUUUCAAAACAACCUUAAUACUCAGAGAGCAAAAAGGUAAUAAUUACAGAAAAUACAGAUGGCAUGAUGGUUGUCAUGUUUAAAACACAAGCUCAUGCUUCUCAAAUGGGCUGACUACCUGCUUGUAGCAUCCAGAGUACAUGCCCUCCCUGCUCCAAGCCUGCUGGCUUCCACUCCAGAGGAAAACACGUCACUUCUGUGAUCAGAAUCUGUCUUAGGCCAAUUAUUCAUCUAAUAAGUCAAGGUUGAAAGACCCCGAUGAAGCUCUGUCAAUCUGAAGCUGCCCACUUGGCUUUCUUCCAAGUGUAGUUCAGACAGGAGACAAACAAGAUGACAGUAGUUGUUGUUUGUUAAUGAGCAUUGCCCCAUAUACCACUGUGUGUGUGUAUGUGAGAGA